Molecule: ribosomal RNA, 393 nt
Filed under: uncultured bacterium
Lineage: Bacteria
Description: partial 16S ribosomal RNA
Rfam family: Bacterial small subunit ribosomal RNA
Source: RNAcentral
AUACGGAAGGUCCGGGCGUUAUCCGGAUUUAUUGGGUUUAAAGGGCGCGCAGGCGGAGAUGCAAGCGUGACGUCAAAUUUCGGGGCUCACCCCCGUCUCGCGUCGCGAACUGCGUCCCUUGGUUGCGGGAAGGGGACGCGGAACUCGUGGUGUAGCGGUGACAUGCAUAGAUAUCACGAAGAACUCCGAUCGCGAAGGCAGCCUCCCGGCCAGUCAACGACGCUCAUGCUCGAAGGUGCGGGUAUCAAACAGGAUUAGAUACCCUGGUAGUCCGCACAGUAAACGAUGGACACCCGCGGUUUGGCCUGUAUGGCUGAGCCGCCAAGCGAAAGCGUUAAGUGUCCCACCUGGGGAGUACGCCGGCAACGGUGAAACUCAAAGGAAUUGGCGGGG